RNAcentral lists this ribosomal RNA (472 nucleotides) under Allium unifolium. RNAcentral's name for it is "partial external transcribed spacer". Lineage: Eukaryota; Viridiplantae; Streptophyta; Magnoliopsida; Asparagales; Amaryllidaceae. The record is from RNAcentral.
UCUUACGUUCCUAUAAAAGAAACUGCACGACGACUCGUGUAGGCCUUUUUCAUAUGGUGCUGGCGAAACCAAACAAUAAAUUGAAAGCACAAAUGGAAUGCUUCCAAAGAAUCUUUAGCAUGGACAACACCCGUAAAACGGUUGGAGCAAUCAACGGUAAAAAUGAAAGUCAACAUAAUAGAGCAAUCAAAAUACCGAAGUAUCCGACUUUGUACGCCCCCAAACACUUGGACAAGAGGAGGGGCGGUACAAAUGACAUCGUUGGACACCAUUUUCCAAACAGGGUCUGUUUUCUGCGACGGCAACACCAAACCUAGCAAAAUCCAAUGCGUAGGUAURAAACGGUUGUGGUACUCAUCAGUCGGCCGCAAAAAAGCGGGGGGCCUGACAUAGCACACACAUCAAUAACCACUCACAUGCCGUCACGGUCACAACCCGCCAAGGCCCUUCGCCUUUCCCCCACACGCUAAAU